This 497-nucleotide ribosomal RNA is filed under the name uncultured bacterium. RNAcentral describes it as "partial 16S ribosomal RNA". It matches the Rfam family "Bacterial small subunit ribosomal RNA", at positions 28 to 507 of the family's 1533-position model. The record is from RNAcentral.
GAUGAACGCUGGCGGCGUGCCUAAUACAUGCAAGUCGAGCGAACAGACGAGGAGCUUGCUCCUCUGACGUUAGCGGCGGACGGGUGAGUAACACGUGGAUAACCUACCUAUAAGACUGGGAUAACUUCGGGAAACCGGAGCUAAUACCGGAUAAUAUAUUGAACCGCAUGGUUCAAUAGUGGAAGACGGUUUUGCUGUCACUUAUAGAUGGAUCCGCGCCGCAUUAGCUAGUUGGUAAGGUAACGGCUUACCAAGGCAACGAUGCGUAGCCGACCUGAGAGGGUGAUCGGCCACACUGGAACUGAGACACGGUCCAGACUCCUACGGGAGGCAGCAGUAGGGAAUCUUCCGCAAUGGGCGAAAGCUUGACGGAGCAACGCCGCGUGAGUGAUGAAGGUCUUCGGAUCGUAAAACUCUGUUAUUAGGGAAGAACAAAUGUGUAAGUAACUAUGCACGUCUUGACGGUACCCAAUCAGAAAGCCACGGCUAACUACGUG